This is a long non-coding RNA of Rhineura floridana, 561 nucleotides long. RefSeq lists it as uncharacterized. The transcript has 3 exons. The record is from RefSeq and is a predicted model, not a curated record. NCBI's taxonomy places the organism in Eukaryota, Metazoa, Chordata, Lepidosauria, Squamata, Rhineuridae.
AUAAGUCUUGGCUCUUCACAGCCUCCCCCCGGAUGACUUCCCGGCCCCUCUGGGGGUCACAGACCCCAGGUUGGGAACCACUGAUUUAGAAAUUAAUCAGAAAGAUCAUCAACUGCUUAUCUGUGACAUGCACUGGAAGAACAUGGAAGACAAAGUAAGUUUAGAUUUAUAAACAGCUUCAUAGCCUGAAGCCACUGGAAGCGGUAUACAAGAAGAUAAAGUGAGAUAAAACACACACACAGAUGCAGACUCUAAAAACAAUAGAACUAUUUCUACAGAUGUACAAUUAAUAUUCCAUAAAAUGACUUGGUCACACUUCAGGGAAAGCCUUCUUUCAGGAGCUGUCUAAACAUCAAGAUGCUAGGUGCCAGUCUAAUUUCAGCUGGUAAUUGAUUCCAGAGGGCUGGAGCUGCAACACUGAAAGCCUGGUAGUUUCCAAUACAAACUAAGUGCAUGUGGGGGCAUGUAAUACUCUCAACAGUGCACCAUCUGUGGAGUGCAGUUGCUGGGUAGGGAUAUAUUAGGUGAGGCUGUCCCUUAGGUGACCUGGAACCAUGUUAU